GGAUGCUGGCAUAAUGUCACGUACGCAUGGCAUAUGCCAUUCGAUCUGGGGAGCGAAGGAGGGAGCCAUAAAGGAGAUUGGUGUCACACAAGUAUAUCAUCAAGUUGUUGCUUGAAGUCUUGAAUUAGAAGAGUCUUGUAUACAAUCCAUUGACUGCAUCAUGCAUCAUUGAUCCUAGCUAUUCUUAAUAGCUGCUAAAUGCGAACUGGCACAAUAGAAGAGCAUGGCAUGUUUUAAUCACAUUGUUUUGGAUUACUUUCUGGAGAACUAUGUGGGACUAUUAAUUUCAUCAUCCAUCAAUCAGACGGCGUGGUAGGUUCCAAUUUGAAUAUAACGCAAACCACAGACCAGACCAAGCAAGUCCUUCCGUCCUUGACGGAGAUUGGAGAUCGACCACCUCGUCGCCUAUCAUGGAAAGAAUGGAACCCGAGGCGCCG
This 437-nucleotide long non-coding RNA is filed under the name Phoenix dactylifera (date palm). RNAcentral's name for it is "long non-coding RNA (PDAC_LNC001007)". Lineage: Eukaryota; Viridiplantae; Streptophyta; Magnoliopsida; Arecales; Arecaceae. The record is from RNAcentral.